RNAcentral lists this ribosomal RNA (434 nucleotides) under uncultured bacterium. RNAcentral describes it as "bacterial SSU rRNA". It matches the Rfam family "Bacterial small subunit ribosomal RNA", at positions 30 to 469 of the family's 1533-position model. The record is from RNAcentral.
AUUGAACGCUGGCGGCAUGCUUUACACAUGCAAGUCGAACGGCAGCGCGGGGCAACCUGGCGGCGAGUGGCGAACGGGUGAGUAAUACAUCGGAACGUACCCAGAAGUGGGGGACAACGUAGCGAAAGUUACGCUAAUACCGCAUACGACCUAAGGGUGAAAGUGGGGGACCGCAAGGCCUCAUGCUUUUGGAGCGGCCGAUGUCUGAUUAGCUAGUUGGUGAGGUAAAGGCUCACCAAGGCGACGAUCAGUAGCUGGUCUGAGAGGACGACCAGCCACACUGGGACUGAGACACGGCCCAGACUCCUACGGGAGGCAGCAGUGGGGAAUUUUGGACAAUGGGGGCAACCCUGAUCCAGCAAUGCCGCGUGAGUGAAGAAGGCCUCGGUUGUAAGACUCUUUUGUUCUAGGGAAGGAAACGGUUACGUGGUUAA